Molecule: ribosomal RNA, 433 nt
Filed under: uncultured bacterium
Lineage: Bacteria
Description: partial 16S ribosomal RNA
Rfam family: Bacterial small subunit ribosomal RNA
Source: RNAcentral
AGCGAACGCUGGCGGCAGGCCUAACACAUGCAAGUCGAACGAACUCUUCGGAGUUAGUGGCGGACGGGUGAGUAACACGUGGGAACGUGCCUUUUGGUUCGGAAUAACUCAGGGAAACGUGUGCUAAUACCGAAUGUGCCCUUCGGGGGAAAGAUUUAUCGCCAUUAGAGCGGCCCGCGUCUGAUUAGCUAGUUGGUGAGGUAACGGCUCACCAAGGCGACGAUCAGUAGCUGGUCUGAGAGGAUGACCAGCCACACUGGGACUGAGACACGGCCCAGACUCCUACGGGAAGCAGCAGUGGGGAAUCUUGCGCAAUGGGCGAAAGCCUGACGCAGCCAUGCCGCGUGAAUGAUGAAGGUCUUAGGAUUGUAAAAUUCUUUCACCCGGGACGAUAAUGACGGUACCCGGAGAAGAAGCCCCGGCUAACUUCGUG